AGAGUAAACUUAUAAGUUUAAAUAAUGUUACCGACCUUCUCUAUCGCAAGUAGCAAAGGGCUUGGUGGUUGGUACCCGAGGUCCCAAGUUCGAAUCCUAGUUGAUUCACAUUUCUAGCUAAGUUUAUUUCUAAAUAAAAUAAACGAAGCGGGUAGCAUGCUACCUAUCUCUCAGAAAAUAAUAAUAAUAAUAAUAAUGUUAUCAACGGAGGGAUCAUGAACAAAAUUGAAUUUGAGAAAAU
RNAcentral lists this long non-coding RNA (241 nucleotides) under Ananas comosus (pineapple). Its description in RNAcentral is "long non-coding RNA (ACOM_LNC007906)". Lineage: Eukaryota; Viridiplantae; Streptophyta; Magnoliopsida; Poales; Bromeliaceae. The record is from RNAcentral.